Molecule: unclassified non-coding RNA, 337 nt
Filed under: soil metagenome
Description: partial contains 5.8S ribosomal RNA, internal transcribed spacer 2, and large subunit ribosomal RNA
Rfam family: 5.8S ribosomal RNA (bases 1-120)
Source: RNAcentral
GAUGAAGAACGUAGCGAAAUGCGAUAAGUAGUGUGAAUUGCAGAAUUCAGUGAAUCAUCGAAUCUUUGAACGCACAUUGCGCCCCUUGGUAUUCCGAGGGGCAUGCCUGUUCGAGCGUCAUUACACCACUCAAGCUAUGCUUGGUAUUGGGCGUCGUCCUUAGUUGGGCGCGCCUUAAAGACCUCGGCGAGGCCACUCCGGCUUUAGGCGUAGUAGAAUUUAUUCGAACGUCUGUCAAAGGAGAGGAACUCUGCCGACUGAAACCUUUAUUUUUCUAGGUUGACCUAGGAUCAGGUAGGGAUACCCGCUGAACUUAAGCAUAUCAAUAAGCGGAGGA